GUCUACCUGAUGUUCUAGAACUUCCUGAUUCUACUACUCGUUAUGACACAAUAAUAAUGACCUUAUCUACUGUGUGUUGCAGUAAGCUGGAAGAGGACAUUCUCUACAUGGCCUAUGCUGACAUUAUGGCUAAGAGCUGUCAUGAUGAAGAGGAUGAGGAUGGAGAGGAGGUGAAGAGUUUUGAAGUAGGUAUCUCCUCUUGAACACCGUCCAGCCCAUUUAACAUUUGCCCAUCCCUCCCCCAGAAGCAUUUUAAAAUGAGGGUGACGUCUUUUAAAAUGGGGGUUAUUUCGUUUCCCAUGGCUUGCAGGCAGCUUUUAAAUGACCCCUGAAGAGAUGGCAGCUAGAGUCUUCUCUGAGUUGAGAUAAUGACCCUUGAAGAGAUGGCACGUAGAGUCUUCUCUCUGAGUUGAGAUAAUGACCCCUGAAGAGAUGGCACGUAUAGUCUUCUCUCUGAGUUGAGAUAAUGACCCCUGAAGAGAUGGCACGUAGAGUCUUCUCUCUGAGUUGAGAUAAUGACCCCUGAAGAGAUGGCACAUAGAGUCUUCUCUCUGAGUUGAGAUAAUGACCCCUGAAGAGAUGGCACAUAGAGUCUUCUCUGAGUUGAGAUAAUGACCCCUGAAGAGAUGGCACAUAGAGUCUUCUCUCUGAUUUGAGAUAAUGACCCCUGAAGAGAUGGCACGUAGAGUCUUCUCUCUGAGUUGAGAUAAUGACACCUGAAGAGAUGGCACGUAGAGUCUACUCUCUGAGUUGAGAUAAUGACCCCUGAAGAGAUGGCACGUAGAGUCUUCUCUCUGAGUUGAGAUAAUGACCCCUGAAGAGAUGGCACGUAGAGUCUUCUCUGAGUUGAGAUAAUGACCCCUGAAGAGAGGGCAGCUAGAGUCUUCUCUGCUGAGUUGAGAUAAUGACCCCUGAAGAGAUGGCACAUAGAGUCUUCUCUGAGUUGAGAUAAUGUCCCCUGAAGAGAUGGCACGUAGAGUGUUCUCUCUGAGUUGAGAUAAUGACCCCUGAAGAGAUGGCAGCUAGAGUCUUCUCUCUGAGUUGAGAUAAUGACCCCUGAAGAGAUGGCACAUAGAGUCUUCUCUCUGAGUUGAGAUAAUGACCCCUGAAGAGAUGGCACAUAGAGUCUUCUCUCUGAGUUGAGAUAAUGACCCCUGAAGAGAUGGCACGUAGAGUCUUCUCUCUGAGUUGAGAUAAUGACCCCUGAAGAGAUGGCACAUAGAGUCUUCUCUCUGAGUUGAGAUAAUGACCCCUGAAGAGAUGGCACAUAGAGUCCACUCUGUUGAGAUAAUGACCCCUGAAGAGAUGGCACGUAGAGUCUUCUCUCUGAGUUGAGAUAAUGACCCCUGAAGAGAUGGCACAUAGAGUCUUCUCUCUGAUUUGAGAUAAUGACCCCUGAAGAGAUGGCAGCUAGAGUCUUCUCUCUGAGUUGAGAUAAUGACCCCUGAAGAGAUGGCACAUAGAGUCUUCUCUGAGUU
This 1478-nucleotide long non-coding RNA is filed under the name Oncorhynchus kisutch (coho salmon). RNAcentral describes it as "lncRNA (ENSOKIG00005042240.1)". The record is from RNAcentral. Lineage: Eukaryota; Metazoa; Chordata; Actinopteri; Salmoniformes; Salmonidae.